Molecule: transfer RNA, 74 nt
Filed under: Candidatus Nanopelagicus sp.
Lineage: Bacteria; Bacillati; Actinomycetota; Actinomycetes; Candidatus Nanopelagicales; Candidatus Nanopelagicaceae
Description: tRNA-Val
Rfam family: tRNA
About the family: Transfer RNA (tRNA) molecules are approximately 80 nucleotides in length.
Source: RNAcentral
ACCGCUGUAGCUCAGCGGAUAGAGCACCCCUUUGACUCAGGGGUAGGUCGCGGGUUCAAAUCCCGCCAGCGGUA